This 497-nucleotide ribosomal RNA is filed under the name uncultured bacterium. RNAcentral's name for it is "partial 16S ribosomal RNA". It matches the Rfam family "Bacterial small subunit ribosomal RNA", at positions 28 to 507 of the family's 1533-position model. The record is from RNAcentral.
GAUGAACGCUGGCGGCGUGCCUAAUACAUGCAAGUCGAGCGAACGGACGAGAAGCUUGCUUCUCUGAUGUUAGCGGCGGACGGGUGAGUAACACGUGGAUAACCUACCUAUAAGACUGAGAUAACUUCGUGAAACCGGAGCUAAUACCGGAUGAUAUUUUGCACCGCAUGGUUAAAAAGUAAAAGACGAUCUUGCUGUCACUUAUAGCUGGAUCCGCGCUGCAUUAGCUAGUUGGUAAGGUAACGGCUUACCAAGGCAACGAUGCAUAGCCGACCUGAGAGGGUGAUCGGCCACACUGGAACUGAGACACGGUCCAGACUCCUACGGGAGGCAGCAGUAGGGAAUCUUCCGCAAUGGGCGAAAGCCUGACGGAGCAACGCCGCGUGAGUGAUGAAGGUCUUCGGAUCGUAAAACUCUGUUAUUAGGGAAGAACAUAUGUGUAAGUAACUGUGCACAUCUUGACGGUACCUAAUCAGAAAGCCACGGCUAACUACGUG